Mastomys coucha (southern multimammate mouse) is the source of this 471-nucleotide long non-coding RNA. RefSeq lists it as uncharacterized. The transcript has 4 exons. Lineage: Eukaryota; Metazoa; Chordata; Mammalia; Rodentia; Muridae. The record is from RefSeq and is a predicted model, not a curated record.
GGCGGAACUUCCGGGCAGAGAGAUCGAUGCAGGGGAAGAAAGCAGAAGUUUGAGCUUUGGGAAGCAGACCUGGAAGGGAACAGACUUCGAUGCAGCUAGUCACGUGGCAGGGAGCGCCUAAGGAACCGAGUUACAAUCCAGACUGGAUGCUCUCACAAACCACCAGCUUCUGCAACUAUUCAUCACCCAAAGGGAGAGAAGGCCAGAGUGAAGAUCAAGUUCUAAUCAGUAAAGAAGCAUCCCGUCCCUUGGAUUUCUAAAGAAGGUGUUUGAUUGAAGUCUGGGAGAAUGGGGACCCUGGGAAUGGGAGAAUAGUCAUCCUGCAAAAGCCCUUGCUGAUCCAGAUGUAGAAUUCCUGUCUCCUCCUCCAGCAUUAUGCCUGUCUGCCUGCUGCCAUGCUUCCCGCCAUGACAACAAAGGACUAGUCUGAACCUGUAAUCCAGCCCUAUUAAACGCUUUCCUUUAAAGAGU